RNAcentral lists this ribosomal RNA (468 nucleotides) under uncultured bacterium. Its description in RNAcentral is "partial 16S ribosomal RNA". It matches the Rfam family "Bacterial small subunit ribosomal RNA", at positions 28 to 507 of the family's 1533-position model. The record is from RNAcentral.
GACGAACGCUGGCGGCGUUCUUAACACAUGCAAGUCGAACGGAAAGGCCCUGCUUUUGUGGGGUGCUCGAGUGGCGAACGGGUGAGUAACACGUGAGUAACCUGCCCUUGACUUUGGGAUAACUUCAGGAAACUGUGGCUAAUACCGGAUAGGAGCUCCUGCUUCAUGGUGGGGGUUGGAAAGUUUCGGCGGUUGGGGAUGGACUCGCGGCUUAUCAGCUUGUUGGUGGGGUAGUGGCUUACCAAGGCUUUGACGGGUAGCCGGCCUGAGAGGGUGACCGGCCACAUUGGGACUGAGAUACGGCCAAGACUCCUACGGGAGGCAGCAGUGGGGAAAAUUGCACAAUGGGCGGAAGCCUGAUGCAGCAACGCCGCGUGCGGGAUGACGGCCUUCGGGUUGUAAACCGCUUUCGCAUGUGACGAAGCGUGAGUGACGGUAAUGGGUAAAGAAGCACAGGCUAAAUACGUG